RNAcentral lists this ribosomal RNA (633 nucleotides) under Escherichia coli. RNAcentral's name for it is "partial 23S ribosomal RNA". It matches the Rfam family "Bacterial large subunit ribosomal RNA", at positions 597 to 1230 of the family's 2925-position model. Lineage: Bacteria; Pseudomonadati; Pseudomonadota; Gammaproteobacteria; Enterobacterales; Enterobacteriaceae. The record is from RNAcentral.
CUGCGUACCUUUUGUAUAAUGGGUCAGCGACUUAUAUUCUGUAGCAAGGUUAACCGAAUAGGGGAGCCGAAGGGAAACCGAGUCUUAACUGGGCGUUAAGUUGCAGGGUAUAGACCCGAAACCCGGUGAUCUAGCCAUGGGCAGGUUGAAGGUUGGGUAACACUAACUGGAGGACCGAACCGACUAAUGUUGAAAAAUUAGCGGAUGACUUGUGGCUGGGGGUGAAAGGCCAAUCAAACCGGGAGAUAGCUGGUUCUCCCCGAAAGCUAUUUAGGUAGCGCCUCGUGAAUUCAUCUCCGGGGGUAGAGCACUGUUUCGGCAAGGGGGUCAUCCCGACUUACCAACCCGAUGCAAACUGCGAAUACCGGAGAAUGUUAUCACGGGAGACACACGGCGGGUGCUAACGUCCGUCGUGAAGAGGGAAACAACCCAGACCGCCAGCUAAGGUCCCAAAGUCAUGGUUAAGUGGGAAACGAUGUGGGAAGGCCCAGACAGCCAGGAUGUUGGCUUAGAAGCAGCCAUCAUUUAAAGAAAGCGUAAUAGCUCACUGGUCGAGUCGGCCUGCGCGGAAGAUGUAACGGGGCUAAACCAUGCACCGAAGCUGCGGCAGCGACGCUGAUGCGUUGUUGGGUA